Molecule: ribosomal RNA, 700 nt
Filed under: Bacillus thuringiensis
Lineage: Bacteria; Bacillati; Bacillota; Bacilli; Caryophanales; Bacillaceae
Description: bacterial SSU rRNA
Rfam family: Bacterial small subunit ribosomal RNA
Source: RNAcentral
CGAGCGAAUGGAUUAAGAGCUUGCUCUUAUGAAGUUAGCGGCGGACGGGUGAGUAACACGUGGGUAACCUGCCCAUAAGACUGGGAUAACUCCGGGAAACCGGGGCUAAUACCGGAUAACAUUUUGAACCGCAUGGUUCGAAAUUGAAAGGCGGCUUCGGCUGUCACUUAUGGAUGGACCCGCGUCGCAUUAGCUAGUUGGUGAGGUAACGGCUCACCAAGGCAACGAUGCGUAGCCGACCUGAGAGGGUGAUCGGCCACACUGGGACUGAGACACGGCCCAGACUCCUACGGGAGGCAGCAGUAGGGAAUCUUCCGCAAUGGACGAAAGUCUGACGGAGCAACGCCGCGUGAGUGAUGAAGGCUUUCGGGUCGUAAAACUCUGUUGUUAGGGAAGAACAAGUGCUAGUUGAAUAAGCUGGCACCUUGACGGUACCUAACCAGAAAGCCACGGCUAACUACGUGCCAGCAGCCGCGGUAAUACGUAGGUGGCAAGCGUUAUCCGGAAUUAUUGGGCGUAAAGCGCGCGCAGGUGGUUUCUUAAGUCUGAUGUGAAAGCCCACGGCUCAACCGUGGAGGGUCAUUGGAAACUGGGAGACUUGAGUGCAGAAGAGGAAAGUGGAAUUCCAUGUGUAGCGGUGAAAUGCGUAGAGAUAUGGAGGAACACCAGUGGCGAAGGCGACUUUCUGGUCUGUAACUGA